AUUGAACGCUGGCGGCAUGCCUUACACAUGCAAGUCGAACGGCAGCAUGAUCUAGCUUGCUAGAUUGAUGGCGAGUGGCGAACGGGUGAGUAAUACAUCGGAACGUGCCCUGUAGUGGGGGAUAACUAGUCGAAAGAUUAGCUAAUACCGCAUACGACCUGAGGGUGGAAGUGGGGGACCGCAAGGCCUCAUGCUAUAGGAGCGGCCGAUGUCUGAUUAGCUAGUUGGUGAGGUAAAGGCUCACCAAGGCGACGAUCAGUAGCUGGUCUGAGAGGACGAUCAGCCACACUGGGACUGAGACACGGCCCAGACUCCUACGGGAGGCAGCAGUGGGGAAUUUUGGACAAUGGGCGAAAGCCUGAUCCAGCAAUGCCGCGUGUGUGAAGAAGGCCUUCGGGUUGUAAAGCACUUUUGUCCGGAAAGAAAUGGCUCUGGUUAAUACCUGGGGUCGAUGACGGUACCGGAAGAAUAAGGACCGGCUAACUACGUG
This 490-nucleotide ribosomal RNA is filed under the name uncultured bacterium. Its description in RNAcentral is "partial 16S ribosomal RNA". It matches the Rfam family "Bacterial small subunit ribosomal RNA", at positions 30 to 507 of the family's 1533-position model. The record is from RNAcentral.